GACGAACGCUGGCGGCGUGCUUAAUACAUGCAAGUCGAACGAAGUGGCGGACGGGCGAGUAACGCGUAAACAACCUGCCCUUCUGAGGGGGACAGCAGUUGGAAACUACUGCUACUAUCGCAUAUUGUGGGAGGGGCUUGCGUCUGAUAAGUUAGUUGGGGGGGUAACGGCCCACCAAGGCGAUGAUCAGUAGCCGGUCUGAGAGGAUGAACGGCCACACUGGAACUGAGACACGGUCCAGACUCCUACGGGAGGCAGCAGUGGGGAAUAUUGGACAAUGGGCGAAAGCCUGAUCCAGCCAUGCCGCGUGUGUGAAGAAGGUCUUCGGAUUGUAAAGCACUUUAAGUUGGGAGGCGUUACCAACAGAAUAAGCACCGGCUAACUUCGUGCCAGCAGCCGCGGUAAUUC
This 408-nucleotide ribosomal RNA is filed under the name uncultured bacterium. RNAcentral describes it as "partial 16S ribosomal RNA". It matches the Rfam family "Bacterial small subunit ribosomal RNA", at positions 28 to 526 of the family's 1533-position model. The record is from RNAcentral.